AUAUGUUUGCGAUGUUACUCUGAGUGCAUAUCCACACCGGGCGAGCCCGAAAAACAUGCCCGGCCACGGUGGGACUCGAACCCACGACCCCCGGAAUACUAGCCCAAUGCUCCUCCAACUGAGCUACGCGGUCAGGACGGUUCGAGUAAGUGAUAUUUCGGAAUACUAGCCCAAUGCUCCUCCAAGCUCCAAUGUAGCUCAGUUGGAGGAGCAUUGGGCUAGUAUUCCGGGGGUCGUGGGUUCGAGUCCCACCGUGGCCGGGCAUGUUUUUCGGGCUCGCCCGGUGUGGAUAUGCACUCAGAGUAACAUCGCAAACAUAUUAUUCACCUGAGUACACAACACCAACACAGAAAAAUAUUCAUAUUACUAGAACACAUUGGUAUUGAAGGAACUAGAUACUGUUCCGAAAUAUCACUUACUCGAACCGUCCUCACCGCGUAGCUCAGUUGGAGGAGCAUUGGGCUAGUAUUCCGGCCGCACUGCAUGAAAAGCCAAGUAUUCAGAUGUGAAUACGUGCGAAUAUCAAUUUGAAUAUGAUGAAUAUUCACACGUAUUCACUGAUAUUCACUGCGAAUAUCCUCGGAAUAUUAGUAGUAUUCAGAUGUGAAUACCUUAGAAUAAAACGCACCUCAUAUCCUCACCUAGAAUACGUUUGAAUAUUGUGUGAAUAUUUUUGAAGGCAUAGUAUUCACACUUGCGUACAUUAUUAAGUGAUUUUGUGUCGAUAUUAAAUAAUCAAGAUAUUAUUUUGAUCAAAUAUGUGUAGUGAUUGUGAUUAUAUAGCUAAGUUUUGCUAAACUGCGCAUCAGAGUACUUGCUUCCUAGUGAUUCUGCAAUUGUCUGGCAGUUAUCGAGAAUUGGGAUUCUACUUGGUUGGUUGACUAAACGAUUGUUU
Non-coding RNA from Paramuricea clavata, 895 nucleotides. The record is from the annotation of a GenBank genome assembly. Lineage: Eukaryota; Metazoa; Cnidaria; Anthozoa; Malacalcyonacea; Plexauridae.